This is a long non-coding RNA of Oreochromis aureus, 3500 nucleotides long. Lineage: Eukaryota; Metazoa; Chordata; Actinopteri; Cichliformes; Cichlidae. The record is from Ensembl.
UCUUGCCCUCAUGUUUAGUUUUGCUGGUGCUUAGUCUUCUCUGCCCGUAUGUCCCUCUGUCUGUCCAUGGUGUCUUGUCUGGUCCUGUGUCUGUUAGUUUUCUGUUUUAUUCUGAAGGUCCUUGUCUUACGUAUGUUCAGUUUACGUUUCCCCUGCCUCGUCAGUUGUGAUUUUCCCCAGGUGAGUUUCCCUCCUGUCUCUCAUCCCUUGAUUACUGCCUCAGUGUAUUUAAGCCCUGUGUUUUCCUGUGCUCACUGUCGCGUCGUUAACGUCUUCUGCCCUCACUCCCUGUGUGUUCUGUUUGCCGUCAUGCCAGUCUAGUUGUUUUUCAGUAUAGUUAGUUUUCUGUUCGGUAACUCCUGCAAUAAAGCUGUUUGUUUGGAAUUCACUUUCGCUUCCGUGAGUCCUGCAUCUUGGGUCCUUCCUCUCUGUCUGCCUGCACACAGCCGAGACAUGACAGGCACGCUAUGGAGAAACUGGACGAAAUAACAAUUGCCACCCUGAAAGAAGCAAAUGUUGGAGAAGACCUGCUCUCAUCACUUUCACGAGAGGACAUCAAAGAUCUGUUUCCUGGUCCUGAACAUUUCCUCAGGCGUCGGGCUCUAUGGCUUGUAGUGCACAAAUGUGAAGAAAACAAGACUGCUGCUGAAAAAACGCUAACAACUACUGGAGAUGGUGACUUCUCCAGAGAGGAACCCAACCCUUCUAAGUUUGUGACUAUGUCCAACCCAGAGUACAUAGUCUUCACAGACAGUGAACUUGAGCAAGCUCGACGUUCCUACUUUGAAAAGAAGCGGCUGGGGACAGAGUGUGCUGAACCUUUGUCAAAGGAACUCUUUUGUCGACUCGUAAGAAACACCAUGACAAACAUGAUUUCGAUAGCAAGAGCAGCUGAGGACUCCAGAUACCCCAGCAAACAUGAGGUUGAUGCCAUGGCAAAGCGAUUAAUGGAGUACUACCCAAUGCUUAAAGAAAUGUGUGGUGAGUGGGAGCAUGUUGCUAAAAAGCUAAUGAAGAGACUCUCCAAUGUCAAAAGUCCAAGGAAGGGCAAAAAACCUCCUGCGAAGAAGCCAAGAAAGGAUGGGAAUGAAAGCGUUGCAAAAAGUGACAGCAGUGGGGAGUCCAGUGCAUCAACUAUUAUUCUAGAUCAAUCACCAUUUAGAUCGAUGGGCACCCCAGUGCACUACCAGGAUGGCAGUGAUGAAGAAUGUAAGUGUUACGGCUGUGGCCAUAAGAUCUCUGUGUGGGCUGUUUUGUUCUGUCUCUUUACUGUGCUUAAGACUCUUUGCAGGUCCCUCCCCUAAUGAAGAGUAGUGAGCAGCUGAUUGGACCGUGGAACACGUGACCGCGUUCAAAAAGCCGUUCUGACAGCUCCCGCCGGGAAGAGAGAGAGAGAGAGAGAGAGAGAAGCGAGCGAGCAAGCAGUUUGACAGCCGACGCGGUCCUGGCCCUGGUUUCCAGCCUAUACUUUUGCUGUGUGUUUGUGUGAGCGUGUUCUGUGAGAGCCGCUCCCCGUGUGUUAACUUAGUGCUUAGGCACCCAUAGGCUGAAGCGGAAGGGGUGAGCCGCCUUUUUCUUUGGGAACCGUUUUCUCCUGUUUUCCGGGUUAGGGAGCAAGGGUUAGUAUUGUCUUUUGUUUGUUUUGUUUCUUUCCUAGGGUUUAGUUAGUUUUCUCUGGUGGGACUUAGUUGGUUUUGUUUAUUAUUUUGGCCUGGGUUCACCCUGGAGCUAUGCUUCAUUACCUUCAAUAAAUCACCUUUUCUUUACUCACAACUGGUUUUGGAUGUUUGGCUUGGGAAUCAGGGCGGGUACGUGUCUCUCUCUCCUCCAACCUUAUGUGCGUCUCUACACGCCUAGACUAGGGGCGUAACACUGGUUCAGCUGACUUCUUUGACAGCCACAAAACCCAGGCAAGACACUACAAGACACUUCAAGAAAUAUACAAGACCAAAAAACAGAACAAAGCUGCUGUUACCCAACUGCUGAACCUGGAGUUUGAGUCUAGAAGACAAUUCAUUAACUCUGAUGCUAUAAAGGAGCAGGACAGAGCGGUGAAGAUACUAGAGGCAUAUCCUUGUUUCAGAGAACUGGAUCAUGUAAGCAGCACUUAUUUCUUUUAGCCAUCCUAUUAUUCCUUUGGGGACAUUUUGAUAUGAUUUUCAAAUUUCUUAAAUACUGGCCCUCAUGUUUAAAUUGUUAUCACUUAUUGUCAAGACCAGAUACAGAGCUAGACAGAUCUGUCUCAGUUGGGUUUCUGUCUGUAUUUUUCAGGUCCUUGAUGAGCUGCGGAGAAUUAUUCAACCAUCCAACUUGAAAUACAUAUCGGAGAUGAAGGAUAGAUAGGAAAUCUUCUACUCGAAGGUGCAGUUUUAUGGUGUCAUGAAGAAAGUUAUGAAGCCGCCAAAAACUUUGGAUGGAGUGGAACAUGCAGCAGCCCUUCCCAUGCUUUUCCCUUCCAGCACAGUACCACCUAAGAAGCUGGGCAUCUGUAGUGAGGCUUUUUUCCAUGUCCUAAAGGGAAGGCUGCCAUAGUCUAUGUGUAUAUAUUGUUGAAUUUUGCAGUUACUCAUGUAUUCAUUUUAUAUAUUUUACUGUGGAGGCAGUCAAAUAUUCUUAAAGUUCAGAUCCCCAUAACAUGUUGAUGUUAAUAAAACCUACAAAAAAAGUUGAUCUAUUUUAAACUGUAAUGCAACUCAAAAAUUGUUUCUUACGGUAUUGUUCUAAUCCUCUUUUUUCUGUCAUGUAGACUUCAGAAGACCCUGAAGGCUACCUGCGUCAGCGACCCCUGGCUUGUCCAGUUCUGCUUGUCUCUGAAGGCAACUGCAUGAUAGCUGUUGGAACCACACCGGUGAGCACUUUUGACCGGAAGGAUCUUAAUGAGGGACUGCUCUAUCUGAUGGCAUAUUACUAUGCCCUCCACCUCACAUAUCCAAAGUGCAUUUCCAUGCUGCUGUCUGUCUUGCAAACUGAAAUACUCAAAGACUCCAUCCAUGACCGAGAUUCAACCCCCUCUUACAGGAAGGCUCUUGGUGAGUGGAAGUCAUUCAUUGAGUGAGUCCCUCAGAUGACAGACUCCAUCUGCCUUAUCAGACUCAGUGUUAGUCAGUGAGGUUGUUUUUUUUGUUUUUGUUUUUUUUUUCUCUAGAAAAGUUGUUCAAAUGUAAAACACAUGUUUGUUUGUGUGGUCGUUAAACUUGUUCUUCUAAAAUGUUAUGUAAUAUAGGAUUUGAAAUAGUGAUUGUUUUAAGCUUCAGCAAAAUUUAUUUUUGAUACCAGCCAUGUUAUACUGUUAUUAUUCAUGUUAAGAGUAUCUGGAAUAUGCACUUCUUAUAUUGGCCAUGUUACACAGUACCCUGCUGAAAUGUAGGUCAUUUUAGACAUGAUUCUCCUGGAACAGACCUCAGUGAGUUACUGACCCAUUGCUGUGUCAAUAAAAGCGCAAAAACGCGCUUUUUCUGUCUUAAUUUAAGAUGAAUUCCCUUAUUUUUAGUAGCUUUUUG